UGCAGCGACGCCGCGUGAGGGAUGACGGCCUUCGGGUUGUAAACCUCUUUCAAUAGGGACGAAGCGCAAGUGACGGUACCUAUAGAAGAAGGACCGGCCAACUACGUGCCAGCAGCCGCGGUAAUACGUAGGGUCCGAGCGUUGUCCGGAAUUACUGGGCGUAAAGAGCUCGUAGGUGGUUUGUCGCGUUGUUCGUGAAAACUCACAGCUCAACUGUGGGCGUGCGGGCGAUACGGGCAGACUAGAGUACUGCAGGGGAGACUGGAAUUCCUGGUGUAGCGGUGGAAUGCGCAGAUAUCAGGAGGAACACCGGUGGCGAAGGCGGGUCUCUGGGCAGUAACUGACGCUGAGGAGCGAAAGCGUGGGGAGCGAACAGGAUUAGAUACCCUGGUAGUCCACGCCGUAAACGGUGGGUACUAGGUGUGGGUUUCCUUCCUUGGGAUCCGUGCCGUAGCUAACGCAUUAAGUACCCCGCCUGGGGAGUACGGCCGCAAGGCUAAAACUCAAAGAAAUUGACGGGGGCCCGCACAAGCGGCGGAGCAUGUGGAUUAAUUCGAUGCAACGCGAAGAACCUUACCUGGGUUUGACAUGCACAGGACGCCGGCAGAGAUGUCGGUUCCCUUGUGGCCUG
Molecule: ribosomal RNA, 631 nt
Filed under: Mycobacterium sp. So2Pw_1269
Lineage: Bacteria; Bacillati; Actinomycetota; Actinomycetes; Mycobacteriales; Mycobacteriaceae
Description: bacterial SSU rRNA
Rfam family: Bacterial small subunit ribosomal RNA
Source: RNAcentral